Molecule: ribosomal RNA, 253 nt
Filed under: uncultured bacterium
Lineage: Bacteria
Description: partial 16S ribosomal RNA
Rfam family: Bacterial small subunit ribosomal RNA
Source: RNAcentral
UACGUAGGGCGCAAGCGUUAUCCGGAAUUAUUGGGCGUAAAGGGCGCGUAGGCGGUCCGGUAAGUCCGCUCUGAAAGUCCGGGGCUCAACCCCGGGAGGCGGGCGGAUACUGUCGGGCUAGAGUCCGGAAGAGGCGAGUGGAAUUCCUGGUGUAGCGGUGAAAUGCGCAGAUAUCAGGAGGAACACCGAUGGCGAAGGCAGCUCGCUGGGACGGUACUGACGCUGAGGCGCGAAAGCGUGGGGAGCAAACAGG